Molecule: transfer RNA, 84 nt
Filed under: Felis catus (domestic cat)
Lineage: Eukaryota; Metazoa; Chordata; Mammalia; Carnivora; Felidae
Also listed under: 1 other name
Rfam family: tRNA
About the family: Transfer RNA (tRNA) molecules are approximately 80 nucleotides in length. Their secondary structure includes four short double-helical elements and three loops (D, anti-codon, and T loops).
Source: Rfam by way of RNAcentral
GCCUGGGUGGCUCAAUCGGUUAAGCGUCUGACUUUGGCUCAGGUCACGACUCACCAUUCGUGAGUUCAAGCCCCAUGUCAGGCU